This 329-nucleotide transfer-messenger RNA is filed under the name Rhodospirillaceae bacterium. It matches the Rfam family "Alphaproteobacteria transfer-messenger RNA". Rfam says of the family: Bacterial tmRNA, also known as 10Sa RNA or SsrA, is named for its dual tRNA and mRNA-like properties. Its role is to liberate the mRNA from a stalled ribosome. To accomplish this part of the tmRNA is used as a reading frame that ends in a translation stop signal. Lineage: Bacteria; Pseudomonadati; Pseudomonadota; Alphaproteobacteria; Rhodospirillales; Rhodospirillaceae. The record is from RNAcentral. RNAcentral also lists the same sequence under 1 other name.
CCCCUUCCUUCAAGCUUAUUUAUUGACUAUAAAUAUUUUGCUGGGUUUUCCCAGAUAUAGUGAUAAACGUUCUACAUAAUAAACGAUGCGGACCCGGGGGCGGUACCCGGCACCUCCACCAAAUUUAUUUGGUCUUUAGUAUGAAGUUUUUAGGGGGGUGAAAUAGGAUCGACGCGCGCGUAAAGGUUUAACUUUCACUCGGCAUGGUACCGUCGUUAUCGGGCCAUUACUAUAGGUGCCAACGAUAAUGUUGAGCCCACCGCUGUUGCCGCCUAAUAAGCGUCGAUAAGCGCGGUUCGGGGGGCACCGGGCAACAGAAGCCCCCCACU